RNAcentral lists this ribosomal RNA (580 nucleotides) under Neonectria sp. BESC103k. RNAcentral describes it as "eukaryotic LSU rRNA". It matches the Rfam family "Eukaryotic large subunit ribosomal RNA", at positions 1 to 594 of the family's 3401-position model. Lineage: Eukaryota; Fungi; Ascomycota; Sordariomycetes; Hypocreales; Nectriaceae. The record is from RNAcentral.
ACCUCGAAUCAGGUAGGACUACCCGCUGAACUUAAGCAUAUCAAUAAGCGGAGGAAAAGAAACCAACAGGGAUUGCCCUAGUAACGGCGAGUGAAGCGGCAACAGCUCAAAUUUGAAAUCUGGCCUUCGGGUCCGAGUUGUAAUUUGUAGAGGAUGCUUUUGGUGAGGUGCCUUCCGAGUUCCCUGGAACGGGACGCCAUAGAGGGUGAGAGCCCCGUCUGGUUGGACACCGAUCCUCUGUAAAGCUCCUUCAACGAGUCGAGUAGUUUGGGAAUGCUGCUCUAAAUGGGAGGUAUAUGUCUUCUAAAGCUAAAUAUUGGCCAGAGACCGAUAGCGCACAAGUAGAGUGAUCGAAAGAUGAAAAGCACUUUGAAAAGAGAGUUAAAAAGUACGUGAAAUUGUUGAAAGGGAAGCGCUCAUGACCAGACUUGGGCUUGGUUGAUCAUCCAGGGUUCUCCCUGGUGCACUCUUCCAGUUCAGGCCAGCAUCAGUUCGCUGCGGGGGAUAAAGGCUUUGGGAAUGUGGCUCCUUCGGGAGUGUUAUAGCCCAUUGUGUAAUACCCUGUGGUGGACUGAGGACC